This is a long non-coding RNA of Carya illinoinensis, 3729 nucleotides long. RefSeq lists it as uncharacterized. The record is from RefSeq and is a predicted model, not a curated record. NCBI's taxonomy places the organism in Eukaryota, Viridiplantae, Streptophyta, Magnoliopsida, Fagales, Juglandaceae. The transcript has 2 exons.
GUGGCUUUGAACUGGUUUGAAAGUAUUUUGGUUAUGAUUUUGUAGAAAACAUAUGUGAGACUAAUUGGCCGGUAUUGGGUUGGAGAGUUUGGGCUAUGGAUUUUUGGUAUGAAGGAAAUGUUGGUGUGGUUCAAUUGUUUCAACAACUUGCCACUCCUGAAGAAAAUUCUACACCGCUUCAAUCACUUCAUUUUUUAUUAUGCUCCAAUAGUGUUUAUAGAAAAGAGUUGUCAUUCCAUCUAGGCCUGGAGCCUUAUGGUUUGGAAUUUGCUUUACUGCUCCAAGUAUUUCUACAUCACUUGGAAUCACUAGAAGUCUCUCAUUUUCUUAAUUUGGAAUUUGCUUCACAAAGAGGUUGUCCAGUUGGUAUGGGAUGUGCGGAUUAGUUGAAGUGUAUAUUGCUUUGAAAUGAUCUAUGAAAAUAUUUUCAAUAGCAAAGGGGUCCAUAGACCAAAUACCUUGGCCCAAUUUAAUGGAUUCGAUGGCGUUUCUCCGACGUCUUAUAUUUGUUGAGAGAUGGGAGAAUUUGAUGUUCAGAUCUGUUGAGGUGAGCCACAAUAUUCUUGAUUUUUGUUGCCAUAGUAUCUCUUCAUACUCCCUUUGCUUGUUGAGCUUGGAUUGUAAUUCCUUUUCUCUGUCUUGAUCAAAAGUGUCGGUGGAAUUGUUUGUGUUAGCAAUAAAUCUUGCUCCAGCUGUUGAAUAUUUUCUUGGAUUCGGCCAUAGUGCUUUUUGUUCCAAAGCUUUAGUGAGUCUUUUGUUGAUUUGAUUUUCGUACAAAGGAUAUAUGCUAGGUUGCCUUGGAAAGUUUUACUCCAAGCUUCACUUAUGAUCUUGUGGCUUAGUGGCUCGUGAAUCCAAAAUUUUUCGAAUUUGAAGGAUGUUGGUUUGCGUUGGGAUCCCUUAGUUUGCAGUAGAAGAGAAUGAUGAUCUGAAGCAAAUGAGGCAAGAUGACUUAAAGAAGCAUCUGGGAAAAGUAGUCUCUAUUGUUGAUUGGCUAUUGCUCGAUCUAUUCUGUCUCUGAUUAGUGCCCUUCCAUGUCUGUUGUUUGUCCAGGUGAAUUUUGGACUAGAGAAGCCUAUGUCAAUUUGCAAGAUGACUUAAAGAAGCAUCUGGGAAAAGUAGUCUCUAUUGUUGAUUGGCUAUUGCUCGAUCUAUUCUGUCUCUGAUUAGUGCCCUUCCAUGUCUGUUGUUUGUCCAGGUGAAUUUUGGACUAGAGAAGCCUAUGUCAAUAAGGCCAUUGCUGUUUAAAAAUGAUCUCAAUCCUUGGUUAUGAUUAUUUAAAACUGGUCGGCCACCAUAUUUUUCCGAUUGGUCGAGUAGGUCAUUGAAGUCACCUAUACAUAACCAUGGCCUUGGGUAAGUGCUUUGAAUUGAAUCCAAAUGAGUCCAAAAAAUUUCUUUGUUGCUCCUUUGGGCCGAAGCAUACACAUGAGUGUUUAACCAUGGACGGUGUGUAGGAUCAGAGUAAACUAAAAUAGAGAUAGCAUUCAUAUAUAUAUGAAUCAGUUCCAUUCCUACACACGGUCACCACAUUAAAAAUAGACCCCCUUUUUUACAAUCAGCUAGGGAGCUUACAAAAUUCUGGAAACCUAGACUAUGUACAAUAGAAGUGGUUCGAUUUUUCGAGAUCAAGGUUUCUGACAAAAAGAUUACAUCCAGAUUAUAUUUUCUAAUAUAGGCCCUUAUAUUUCUGAUUGCGUUGGGUUGAGCGAGGCACCUGCAAUUCCACACUAAGGACCUCAUUUCUCAGGGUGAGGCUUUUCAAAGCUAGCCUCUUUUGCUUCUUUGGAUUGACUCGGGGGUGGGGAUGGCCUGCCGUAUGGAAUGUCUCUGAUUUUCCCUUUUAGCUUCCUUAGUUUUCUUACUCAUCCAGAUUGCAUUUCCACUAGAGUUUUGGCCAAGAUUGACACAUCUGAUUGAAUGACCAUUUCUUCCUUGAUAUUUCCAGAUUGCACCAUUUUUGUUGUUACUGCUUUGCAAAUUUUUUUCUUUGGCGACUUUGCCUUGUCAUGCACUUGUGGUUCGGUUGGCCUCUUUGUUGGAAGGGAAACGAUCUCCUCCAUUGGACCGGAGGACUGUGGGUUCUUCAUGGGACAAUUUUUCGAAAUAAUGGGAGGUUCAUUUGGGGCUGGUUGGGUUGGUUCUAUCUCAGAGUAUGGUGGGGAUUUUUCCUGGAGGGAUUAUUGCAGAUGACUGACUAUGGGCAUUAGGUAAGAUGUGGUAAAAGGUGGGGGAGAGGCACAUAUAUCCAUUAUAGUCGGAUUAUAUGCUAAUGAAGAGGAUGAAGGGGUUGCAUAGGUGUGUAUGGUCGAGUUGUUUGCAGGUGAUGAGGAUGAAGGGGCUAUGACAUGCUUGGCCCGAUUGAUUUGUCAUGUGGGGUGUUGGGCUGGCUUAUUUAGGCUAAGGCAAGAUGGGCUGGGUUGUGUGGUUAGUAGAUGUUUUUCUGGGCCCAUGAGAUUUCGGUUAGAGGGAGGGGGAUUUUGGAUUUGUGUAACCUGACUAAAUAAACUAGAGUUAUGAGAACUCUGACCUUGAAGUGCCGAAUGGGUUAGAAGCUUUGACCUGGUUGGGUUGGCUCUGAAGUCUCGCAUUGCAUUAUAAACUUGUCUCCACUGUGAUUUCCAUGGGGAGUUCCUUCGGGAUGAAAGGAUGUUUGUAGAUGGGAUUGUUCGAGCAUCUAGUUCCAUUGGGGUCAUUUCCAUGCUGAAUCUUUCUGAAUUUGAUGAUGAGUUGAAAUUAAAGCCUUCUGUUAUGUUCGGUGGGUUGAAGCUGGUUCUGCUGUCCAUAGUGAAGAAAUUUAUUGUGGUUGGUACUUGAGUUAAUGCCCUAGUUUCACUAUAGCUGGCCCAAUCGGUGACCCAUUCUGAAUGAGUCUGUUGGAUGACUCACCGAUCUUUAAGUGAUUCUCCAUUGAUGGGAAGAGUUGCUGUAGCGCUGGAGGGGAGUCUUGCACAAGUAUGGUGUUUCCAGUUUCAUCAAGUGUAUAAGCAUUCCUUGUGAUGAUUUGGAAAUCCAAACUUUGUGGUUUUUGCCUUGGCAAGGUGACAGCUUUAAUUCUUGCCAUGAGAGAGCUUCAGUUUGAGAGAUCAAUUUUUCCAUUUCCAUUUUGGGAGUUGCUUGAAGUUUGGCGCAGCACUUGAUGCAGUAGAGGUGGUGAAUUGUUCUGGAUAGAAGGUGGCGAGAGAACUCGGUUUAUCAACAAGGAGUUGAACUUCAGCUACACAAGCAAGGAAAUGCUACAGAGACCUGGAGAGAACACUAUAGAGGAUGUGGAAAUUUUAAAAUUGGGUAUAGAGAAUAGAACUUACCGUAAUGAUCUUCUCUUCAAUCCCCUUGAGAUAGGCUAGAAAGAGAAUGGGCUUCCAAGUACAUCACCACCUUGAACCAUCCUAUGAGAGAAGAGGAUCAUCUAACCAAACUGUUAAUGCAUUUUCCAUGUUGCCAAGACCAAAGAGCUUCAGAGAAUGUGAAGACCAGAGAGAAUCCCAUUGGAGCAAUUGUAGAGAACUAAGUGAGGAUGGGAUGGAGAGGUUGUAACAAACUUGAUUUCCAGUAGACUUGCACCCAGGCCUCAUGGACAUAGGUCUUAGUGCCGAACCAUAUAAACUAGUAUCUCCUUUAUUUUUAGAGGAGGUUUGGAUAGUGAGUUGAGAUAAGAUGAAAUGAAAAUUGAAUGUUAGAUAAAAUAUUGUUAGAAUAUUAUUUUUUAAUAUUAUUAUUUUUUUGAGA